This 176-nucleotide small nuclear RNA is filed under the name Oryzias melastigma (Indian medaka). Its description in RNAcentral is "U2 spliceosomal RNA (ENSOMEG00000014132.1)". It matches the Rfam family "U2 spliceosomal RNA". Rfam says of the family: U2 is a small nuclear RNA (snRNA) component of the spliceosome (involved in pre-mRNA splicing). Complementary binding between U2 snRNA (in an area lying towards the 5' end but 3' to hairpin I) and the branchpoint sequence (BPS) of the intron results the bulging out of an unpaired adenosine, on the BPS, which initiates a nucleophilic attack at the intronic 5' splice site, thus starting the first of two transesterification reactions that mediate splicing. Lineage: Eukaryota; Metazoa; Chordata; Actinopteri; Beloniformes; Adrianichthyidae. The record is from RNAcentral.
GUCGCUUCUAGGCCUUUUGGCUAAGAUCAGGAGGUAGCAUCUUUUCUUAUCAGUUUAAUAUCUAGUAUGUCCUCCAGGUGAGGACAGCAUAUUAAGUGGAUUUUUGAACUGUGGGGGUGAAAUUGGAGCUCGCUUUACUCCAUGCAGUAUUGCAGUGCUUCUGAAAACUACCCAUU